RNAcentral lists this ribosomal RNA (202 nucleotides) under Listeria monocytogenes. RNAcentral describes it as "partial 23S ribosomal RNA". It matches the Rfam family "Bacterial large subunit ribosomal RNA", at positions 2726 to 2925 of the family's 2925-position model. Lineage: Bacteria; Bacillati; Bacillota; Bacilli; Caryophanales; Listeriaceae. The record is from RNAcentral.
CCGCCAGGAGCAUCGCUGGGUAGCUAUGUGUGGCAGGGAUAAACGCUGAAAGCAUCUAAGCGUGAAGCCCCCCUCAAGAUGAGAUUUCCCAUUUCUUCGGAAAGUAAGAUCCCUGAAAGAUGAUCAGGUAGAUAGGUUUGGAGUGGAAGUGUAGCGAUACAUGGAGCGGACAAAUACUAAUCGAUCGAGGACUUAACCAAAA